This 771-nucleotide long non-coding RNA is filed under the name Patiria miniata (bat star). Its description in RNAcentral is "uncharacterized LOC119719987". Lineage: Eukaryota; Metazoa; Echinodermata; Asteroidea; Valvatida; Asterinidae. The record is from RNAcentral.
UAUUGAGCAAGUGCCCCGGUGAUGCGACUGUAACCGGUCAGUCCAAAAAUUCAACCCCCAAAAGUGGGUGCAGUACAUUUUGUUUUCGUCCUUCACAUAUUUAUUUAAACAGGCAAUUGUUUUCAACUCAAGUUGAUCAGUAUGAAACUGUGCCACCCCUCUAAGUAAGUCUCGUGACCAAAAUGUAAUCGCCCAUCGGGAUUACGUCAUUAGCAUUCUAUCCGAUUCUCAUUUCUAACCCAGGCUUGUGCUGAAUGCACAUUAUGCAAAUAACGUGUUUUAGAAGAUUUCCACUCAGACUCCAGCCCUAUUGUUACAUUCAUGCCUCGCUGAUCACCAUGGUACAGCGACCUAGCGUGCACGGGCUUUAUCUUAAGCUGUUGUUUCGGUGCUGGGCUAGGCCUUCAUUACUGUCGUUGUGCUCCUCACGCUCACUGCAUGCAACUCAUUACAUUGUUCAAAAUUAUCAUUUUGGCUGUGUUUAUUCUAAUUGAACGUGAACAUUGUGUCCAAUUUAUAUUGUAUUAACAAAGACAUCGUUACCAUUUACUCCGAUCAGCACCAAGAGGGGCAAUGUCUUCAAGAGUAGAAAGAGGCCCAGUGUUUUCGUUACCCUGUUCACUUAGGAAAGAGUUGCAGCUUUCAUCAAAGAAACUGAUGAUCUAAAAGUUGAGACUGCAUGGAUGAGCUAGGCUGCUUUGUCUGGACGAAAAUCAACCCUCCAAGGCUCCAACAGCCUCAUCACACAGAAACUCGAGGAACCGGAAGCAG